UGACCAGGCCUCUGUGAGGUGACCAGGCCUCUGUGAGAUGACCAGGCCUCUGUGAGGUGACCAGGCCUUGUGAGGUGACCUAUCUCUGUGAGGAGAGCAGGCCUCAGUGAGGUGACCAGGCCUCUGUGAUUUAACACAGCCUCUCUGAGGUAAAGCAGGCAAUGUUACCAGGUCUCUGUGAGGUGAGGAAGCCAGGGUGAGGUGACCUGGUCUCUCCGAGCUUCCUGCUGAGCUUGUCCUCUGCAGAUAGAGCGGGCCGACCUGGCAGCUGGAGCGCCAAGGCCUAUGCUAGGCUCUGGAGAUACAGGAACAGAGGUGCAAGCAUUGAAAUAUGUCUCUUCGGCUCAAACACUGUGUGUGAGCUGAGGCUCACUGGCUUCCUCCUCCCAGCUCUGUUGUGGCUGUUGUAUCUAGAAAACAUGAAAAGCUCUCCCAUCUCAAUAGAAGAAAAGUCAUUCACGUGGCAUGAUUCUGUGAAUACAGAAUUCUUGGAAAGUCACGGCUCAAGUGACAGAAGAAUCUGAUGGUCUGGUGUUGGAAAGCACAGAGGGGAAGAGGCUGGGUUUAAAGAAACACCUUCUGGGUGAUGGAAGCUCCCUGGUGAUUGCAGUACUGUCUAUUGUGGAUCAGAACAUGCUGAUUCACAUACCUGGGAUCGGUUCGCCUCCAUCAUUCAUCAAUCGCACUUCAAGGAAGCAGAUGACUAGCAUGCCCAUGUCCUCCACCCCUGCCGUCUUCCUCCUUAGAUGGCAUCCCAAGGAACUGUUCAAGACACGGCAAAGAUUUAUAAACAUUAAUGGUCCUCAAA
This is a long non-coding RNA of Peromyscus eremicus (cactus mouse), 808 nucleotides long. RefSeq lists it as uncharacterized. The transcript is spliced from 3 exons. NCBI's taxonomy places the organism in Eukaryota, Metazoa, Chordata, Mammalia, Rodentia, Cricetidae. The record is from RefSeq and is a predicted model, not a curated record.